UCGAAACCUGCAGAGCAGAACGACCCGCGAACACGUUUUAAACACUUGGGGGCGCUUGCGCCCUCCCGUCCCCGACGACUUGCGCGCUUGCGCGCUCGUUUUUGGGGGCCAACGAACGAACCCCGGCGCGGAAAGCGCCAAGGAAUACUAAAAUCGGCAGCCCUCCCCUCGCGCCCCGUUCGCGGAUCGCCCGGGGGGACGCGCGCUGCUCUUUAAACACAAACGACUCUCGGCAACGGAUAUCUCGGCUCUCGCAUCGAUGAAGAACGUAGCGAAAUGCGAUACUUGGUGUGAAUUGCAGAAUCCCGUGAACCAUCGAGUCUUUGAACGCAAGUUGCGCCCGAAGCCAUUAGGCCGAGGGCACGUCUGCCUGGGCGUCACGCAUCGCGUCGCCCCCCGCGCACCUUGCGCGGGGGCGGAAGCUGGCCUCCCGUGCGCCCCGAGCGCGCGGCUGGCCUAAAUGCGAGUCCACGUCGACGGACGUCGCGGCAAGUGGUGGUUGAAACUCAACUCUCUCUCGUUGUCGCGGCUACAGCCCGUCGCGCGUCCGGACUCCCAGACCCU
This 564-nucleotide unclassified non-coding RNA is filed under the name Solanum tuberosum (potato). RNAcentral describes it as "contains ITS1, 5.8S rRNA and ITS2". The stretch from base 225 to 380 matches the Rfam family "5.8S ribosomal RNA". Lineage: Eukaryota; Viridiplantae; Streptophyta; Magnoliopsida; Solanales; Solanaceae. The record is from RNAcentral.